UGCACAGCCCAUCGCCCCCGUGCAAAGCAGGUGUGAAACACCACAGGGGCAUCUCACACCCACUUGGCACUGGGGCCAAUGCCUGGGCAAGGUGGUGGAGCCUUGAGUGCAGCAUCCAAUUUACCAUAGCCCUGGCUCCAAGGGCACGCUGGGUCGUAACUCGCACCCAACACCCGGUGCCCAUGGCGGCCGGUCCUGGCACAGGUCGCUGCCCGUUCUGUCCUGCCAGGCACUGCCUGGGCUGCCUGCGAACCUGGCCCAGCCAGCAGCCACUGGGGGGCAGCAGGGCACCAGUGGCUCUGCUCCCCGCCUGAUGUCCCAGAGACAAGGCACUGGCGCCCAAGCCAGAGCGGGCAAAGUUCAAGGCUGACAUGGGGUGGCUCCAGCCGCUGCCACCCAUGGGCCCCCACAGUCAGGAGCUCCCUCUCCGCUCCCAUGUGCCACACAAAGGGACCUGAAUCAACUGGCUGGGGAGGGCAGGCCAGCAGCAUUGCUCCUCGGGUCCCAGCUCCGUACAGCCCAGGCAGCUGUUUAUCCGCACGGGUGCAGAGCACAUGACACCCCAGCCCUUAAAGAGGUAAAGCGGCUUUGGGGUCCAGUUGGGGGGUGCCCCCUGCCCACCUCCCACAAAAUGGGCAGCGCCAGCCACCGCUCUGCACCCCAGUGGGGGAGGCCAGGCACUGGGUUCCCCCAAGUCCCUUGGAGCCACAUUCCCAGCAGUUCCCUGGGGGCUGGACGCAUAGGGCUCUGGGGGGUGCUCCGGAAAUGGGGCCCAAGCUCAGCAGCCCAACAAAGGAGGCCCUGAAUCAGCAGCUGCCAGCCGGACAGGGCAGCCCCCACCCCAAGCCCCUGCUGCUCCCUCUCUCUUCUCCUCCCUCCUUCGCAGGGUCUGGGCUCCAGGACCGAGCUUGGAUGGGGGGCGGGUUUCUCCCAGGCCCUGGCCACAAAUGCAGCAGCCCCCACCUGACUGCAGGAUCCUCAAAGCAGGCGCCGGAGCGUGGCCGUGCACAGGCUCCACAGAGGGGACUUCCCCCUUCCCCACCCUGGGGGCUCCUGUGCUGGCUUCAGCCCUGGGGCACACGCAUCCCGUCGUAGCCCGGCACUGUCUCCUCAUGCACGGGAGCUACCUAGGCGGGCGUCUGAUGGCUCCUUUUCCUGCCCUAGGUUCGUGGACAGCAUGGGCCUCAGCAACCCCCAUUUCAGCCUGUUCUGAGCGCCCAGUGGGUCCCACCGCCGGGCACGUCUGGCCUUCCACGGACAUGGAGCAGCCCCAGCCUGAACCCCAGCCACAGACGGGGGUACGAACGGAGCCCAUGGCAUACUGCGCAGGAUCCCAGGGGACAGGACACGGCCAGGACACAGCGGCUGUUAUAGAAAGUGAGUUUUAUAUAUAAUUUAUAUGUACACACAAGAAAAAAGUACCUUUAAUCUGCAUUGCCAAAUAAGUGCCACGUCCCCCCUCGCCCGACACAACGACAGCGCCGCCCUCAUCGGGGCCUUCAGUCCAAAGCUGCUGUGCCCCCCCACCCCACCCCCAGCAGGGGAGCCCAGGGAGGAGCAGAGACCCCAUGGCUAUGGGCCCAGACCAAGCUCGCCUGGCUCCGACGUCGGCUGAAAACUCCCCAGACACAGUCACAGAAAUAAAAACACCCCAAAACUGCUAAAAAAACCCA
This is a long non-coding RNA of Gopherus agassizii (Agassiz's desert tortoise), 1673 nucleotides long. NCBI's taxonomy places the organism in Eukaryota, Metazoa, Chordata, Testudines, Testudinidae. The record is from Ensembl.